UAAUACGAAGGGGGCUAGCGUUGUUCGGAUUUACUGGGCGUAAAGCGCGUGUAGGCGGGCUGGAAAGUUGGGGGUGAAAUCCCGAGGCUCAACCUCGGAACUGCCUCCAAAACUUCCAGCCUGGACUCAAGUAGAGGCAAGUGGAAUUGCGAGUGUAGAGGUGAAAUUCGUAGAUAUUCGCAGGAACACCAGUGGCGAAGGCGACUUGCUGGACUUGUAGUGACGCUGAGACGCGAAAGCGUGGGGAGCAAACAGG
RNAcentral lists this ribosomal RNA (256 nucleotides) under uncultured bacterium. Its description in RNAcentral is "partial 16S ribosomal RNA". It matches the Rfam family "Bacterial small subunit ribosomal RNA", at positions 521 to 776 of the family's 1533-position model. The record is from RNAcentral.